This 474-nucleotide ribosomal RNA is filed under the name uncultured bacterium. Its description in RNAcentral is "partial 16S ribosomal RNA". It matches the Rfam family "Bacterial small subunit ribosomal RNA", at positions 28 to 507 of the family's 1533-position model. The record is from RNAcentral.
GAUGAACGCUAGCGGCAGGCCUAACACAUGCGAGUCGAGGGAGGAGCCUUCGGGCUUCGACCGGCGUACGGGUGCGUAACGCGUAUACAAUCUGCCUUCCACAUAGGGAUAGCCCGAAGAAAUUUGGAUUAAUACCUAAUGGUAUAUAGAUGUGGCAUCACCUUUAUAUUAAAGCUGAGGCGGUGAAAGAUGAGUAUGCGUUCUAUUAGCUAGUUGGAGAGGUAACGGCUCCCCAAGGCGACGAUAGAUAGGGGUUCUGAGAGGGAUAUCCCCCACACUGGUACUGAGAUACGGACCAGACUCCUACGGGAGGCAGCAGUGAGGAAUAUUGGACAAUGGUCGGAAGACUGAUCCAGCCAUGCCGCGUGCAGGAAGACGGCCUUAUGGGUUGUAAACUGCUUUUGCAGGGGAAGAAUAAGGACUACGCGUAGUUUGAUGACGGUACUCUGCGAAUAAGCAUCGGCUAACUCCGUG